GCAGUUUGCUGGUCUGUCGCUCAUUUAUAAAAUGGGAGGAACGUCCGGGCAACACAGAGCACCAUACUUCUUAAUGGGAAGCUGUCCGUGAGGGUAGAGUAACGUAACAGAGAAUAACCGCCGUUUAUUCGGUAAGGGUGAAAAGGUGAGGUAAGAGCUUACCGGGUCUUAUAGUAAUAUAGGAUGCCGUACGUCUUAUGGGUUGUAAGGUCAUGUAUACCGGCGCAGUAGGAUUGCUCGUCCGAUGCCGGGGGGUAGACCGCUAAAGCUUACUGGUGACAGUAAGACGAGAUAAAUGGCAGACGCUUUUGUGUAAACAGAAGUACAGAACCCGGCUUAUAGGCAGACUGCUUUU
Molecule: RNase P RNA, 355 nt
Filed under: Parabacteroides sp.
Lineage: Bacteria; Pseudomonadati; Bacteroidota; Bacteroidia; Bacteroidales; Tannerellaceae
Description: RNase P RNA component class A
Rfam family: Bacterial RNase P class A
About the family: Ribonuclease P (RNase P) is a ubiquitous endoribonuclease, found in archaea, bacteria and eukarya as well as chloroplasts and mitochondria. Its best characterised activity is the generation of mature 5'-ends of tRNAs by cleaving the 5'-leader elements of precursor-tRNAs. Cellular RNase Ps are ribonucleoproteins.
Source: RNAcentral